RNAcentral lists this ribosomal RNA (497 nucleotides) under uncultured bacterium. Its description in RNAcentral is "partial 16S ribosomal RNA". It matches the Rfam family "Bacterial small subunit ribosomal RNA", at positions 28 to 507 of the family's 1533-position model. The record is from RNAcentral.
GAUGAACGCUGGCGGCGUGCCUAAUACAUGCAAGUCGAGCGAACAGACGAGGAGCUUGCUCCUCUGACGUUAGCGGCGGACGGGUGAGUAACACGUGGAUAACCUACCUAUAAGACUGGGAUAACUUCGGGAAACCGGAGCUAAUACCGGAUAAUAUAUUGAACCGCAUGGUUCAAUAUUGAAAGACGGUUUUGCUGUCACUUAUAGAUGGAUCCGCGCCGCAUUAGCUAGUUGGUAAGGUAACGGCUUACCAAGGCAACGAUGCGUAGCCGACCUGGGAGGGUGAUCGGGCACGCUGGAACUGAGACACGGUCCAGACUCCGACGGGAGGCGGCAGUAGGGAAUCGUCCGCAAUGGGCGAAAGCCUGACGGAGCAACGCCGCGUGAGUGAUGAAGGUCUUCGGAUCGUAAAACUCUGUUAUUAGGGAAGAACAAAUGUGUAAGUAGCUAUGCACGUCUUGACGGUACCUAAUCAGAAAGCCACGGCUAACUACGUG